Molecule: ribosomal RNA, 569 nt
Filed under: uncultured bacterium
Lineage: Bacteria
Description: partial 16S ribosomal RNA
Rfam family: Bacterial small subunit ribosomal RNA
Source: RNAcentral
UGGGGAAUUUUGGACAAUGGGGGAAACCCUGAUCCAGCCAUCCCGCGUGUGCGAUGAAGGCCUUCGGGUUGUAAAGCACUUUUGGCAGGAAAGAAACGUCGCGGGUUAAUACCCCGCGAAACUGACGGUACCUGCAGAAUAAGCACCGGCUAACUACGUGCCAGCAGCCGCGGUAAUACGUAGGGUGCAAGCGUUAAUCGGAAUUACUGGGCGUAAAGCGUGCGCAGGCGGUUCGGAAAGAAAGAUGUGAAAUCCCAGAGCUUAACUUUGGGAACUGCAUUUUUAACUACCGGGCUAGAGUGUGUCAGAGGGAGGUGGAAUUCCGCGUGUAGCAGUGAAAUGCGUAGAUAUGCGGAGGAACACCGAUGGCGAAGGCAGCCUCCUGGGAUAACACUGACGCUCAUGCACGAAAGCGUGGGGAGCAAACAGGAUUAGAUACCCUGGUAGUCCACGCCCUAAACGAUGUCAACUAGCUGUUGGGGGCCUUCGGGCCUUGGUAGCGCAGCUAACGCGUGAAGUUGGACCGCCUGGGGAGUACGGUCGCAAGAUUAAAACUCAAAUGAAUUGAC